GUUUAUCAAAAACAUGUCUUUUUGAAAUUAAUAUAAAGUCUGGCCUGCCCACUGAAUUAAUUUAAAUGGCCGCAGUAUUUUAACUGUGCAAAGGUAGCAUAGUCAUUAGUCUUUUAAUUGAAGGCUGGAAUGAAUGGUUAUAUGAAAUAUUAACUGUUUCAUAAUAAUUUAUAGUAAAAUUUUAUUUUUUAGUUAAAAAGCUAAAAUUAAAUUAAAAGACGAGAAGACCCUAUAAAUCUUUAUAUUUUAUUGGGGUGAUAUUAAAAUUUAUUUAACUUUUAAUUAUUAAUUUACAUUAAUUUAUGAAUUUUUGAUCCAUAUAUAAUGAUUAAAAAAUUAAGUUACUUUAGGGAUAACAGCGUAAUUUUUUUAGAGAGUUCUUAUUGAUAAAAAAGAUUGCGACCUCGAUGU
RNAcentral lists this ribosomal RNA (411 nucleotides) under Apocephalus sp. 541 JMH-2018. RNAcentral's name for it is "partial 16S ribosomal RNA". It matches the Rfam family "Bacterial large subunit ribosomal RNA", at positions 1802 to 2532 of the family's 2925-position model. The record is from RNAcentral. Lineage: Eukaryota; Metazoa; Arthropoda; Insecta; Diptera; Phoridae.